RNAcentral lists this ribosomal RNA (499 nucleotides) under uncultured bacterium. Its description in RNAcentral is "partial 16S ribosomal RNA". It matches the Rfam family "Bacterial small subunit ribosomal RNA", at positions 28 to 507 of the family's 1533-position model. The record is from RNAcentral.
GACGAACGCUGGCGGCGUGCUUAACACAUGCAAGUCGAACGGGCCUGUCUUCUUUUUUGGGGGUGGGUUGAGUGGCGAACGGGUGAGUAUCACGUGAGUAACCUGCCCUUCGGUCCUGGAUAACCGCUUGAAAGGGCGGCUAAUACGGGGUGGUCCGGUUGGUCCGCAUGGGCUGGUCGGGAUAGAUUCACUGUUUUUGGUGUUUCGGCGGGGGAUGGGCUCGCGGCCUAUCAGCUUGUUGGUGGGGUGAUGGCCUACCAAGGCGGUGACGGGUAGCCGGGCGGGGAGGGUGGGCGGCCACACUGGGACCGAGAUACGGCCCAGACUCCUGCGGGAGGCAGCAGUGGGGGGUAUUGCACAAUGGGCGGAAGCCUGAUGCAGCGACGUCGCGUGAGGGAUGGAGGCCUUCGGGUUGUGAACCUCUGUUUCCGGUGGUGAAGGCCCUGUCCGUGUGGUGGGGUUGACGGUAGCCGGGGAUGAAGCGCCGGCUAACUACGUG